UACAGAGGUCUCAAGCGUUGUUCGGAUUCAUUGGGCGUAAAGGGUGCGUAGGCGGUUCGGUAAGUCGGGUGUGAAACCUCCAGGCCCAACCUGGAGACGCCACCCGAUACUGCUGUGACUAGAGUCCGGUAGGGGAGCGUGGAAUUCCUGGUGUAGCGGUGAAAUGCGCAGAUAUCAGGAGGAACACCAGCGGCGAAGGCGGCGCUCUGGGCCGGAACUGACGCUGAGGAGCGAAAGCGUGGGGAGCAAACGGG
Molecule: ribosomal RNA, 254 nt
Filed under: uncultured bacterium
Lineage: Bacteria
Description: partial 16S ribosomal RNA
Rfam family: Bacterial small subunit ribosomal RNA
Source: RNAcentral